CGAACGCCACCUAUGUGUCAAAGCCGAAACUACGAAGUCGAUGGUGGGUGGAUCCGGCGAGAGGCUGAGUAUAUUUUAAGUGAGCUGAUAUAAGGAAGACUCAACAAUGACAGACUCAAAGUACUUCACAACCACCAAAAAGGGUGAGAUCUUUGAGUUGAAAUCUGAACUGAAUAGUGACAAGAAGGAGAAGAAGAAGGAAGCUGUGAAGAAAGUUAUUGCUUCCAUGACAGUUGGAAAGGAUGUAUCUGCCCUAUUCCCUGAUGUGGUCAACUGUAUGCAGACUGACAACCUGGAACUUAAAAAACUUGUCUAUCUUUAUCUGAUGAAUUAUGCAAAGUCCCAGCCAGACAUGGCAAUCAUGGCUGUCAAUACAUUUGUGAAGGAUUGUGAAGACCCCAAUCCUUUGAUCCGAGCCUUAGCAGUGCGCACAAUGGGAUGCAUUCGUGUGGACAAGAUCACAGAAUAUCUUUGUGAGCCUCUGCGCAAAUGUUUAAAGGAUGAGGAUCCAUACGUAAGGAAGACUGCUGCUAUCUGCGUAGCCAAGUUGCAUGAUAUUAAUGCUUCUAUGGUAGAAGACCAGGGAUUUUUGGAUCAGCUAAAAGAACUAUUAUCAGACUCCAAUCCUAUGGUUGUUGCAAAUGCAGUUGCUUCACUUACUGAAAUUAACGAAGCAAGCAGUUCAGGACAGCCUUUGAUGGAGCUCAAUGCCUCAACUAUCAACAAACUGUUAACUGCUCUGAAUGAGUGCACAGAAUGGGGACAGGUGUUCAUCCUCGAUGCCCUCUCUCAAUAUAGCCCGAAGGAUGAGCGGGAAGCACAGAGCAUUUGCGAGCGAAUUACCCCUCGUUUGGCCCAUGCCAACGCUGCAGUAGUGUUGUCUGCAGUGAAAUGUCUUAUGAAGUUUAUGGAACUGAUGGUCAGCGAUUCUGAAUUUGUGAAGAACCUUUCCAAAAAGUUGGCGCCUCCUUUGGUCACACUGUUGUCCUCUGAGCCUGAGGUUCAGUAUGUGGCUCUACGUAACAUCAACCUUAUUGUCCAGAAGAGGCCAGAUCUUCUGAAGCAUGAGAUGAAGGUCUUCUUUGUUAAGUACAAUGAUCCAAUUUAUGUGAAGCUUGAAAAGCUUGACAUCAUGAUUCGUCUUGCAUCUGAGGCCAAUAUCAUUCAAGUUCUCUCUGAGUUGAAGGAAUAUGCAACAGAAGUGGAUGUUGAUUUUGUGCGAAAAGCUGUAAGGGCUAUUGGACGCUGUGCCAUCAAAGUAGAAACAUCUGCAGAGAGAUGUGUGUCUACUCUGCUUGAUCUUAUUCAGACAAAGGUAAAUUAUGUCGUUCAAGAAGCUAUUGUGGUAAUCAAGGAUAUCUUCCGAAAGUACCCCAACAAAUAUGAAAGCAUAAUCUCGACUCUCUGUGAGAAUCUUGACACCUUGGAUGAGCCAGAAGCAAGGGCAUCAAUGAUUUGGAUCAUUGGUGAGUAUGCAGAGCGAAUUGACAAUGCAGAUGAACUGUUGGAGAGUUUCCUUGAAGGAUUCCAUGAUGAGAACACACAAGUGCAGCUACAGCUUCUCACAGCAAUUGUCAAACUUUUCCUGAAGAGACCCACAGAUACACAGGAAUUAGUACAACAGGUACUAAGUCUGGCUACCCAGGACUCUGACAACCCAGAUUUGCGAGACAGAGGAUUUAUCUACUGGAGGCUCUUGUCUACCGAUCCUGGUGCAGCUAAGGAAGUUGUACUUGCCGAGAAGCCUCUCAUUGCUGAAGAAACCGAUCUUAUUGAACCAACCCUUUUGGAUGAGCUGAUAUGCCAUAUUGCUUCACUGGCAUCGGUGUACCAUAAACCCCCCUCUGCAUUUGUUGAAGGGAGAACUGGUCUCCGAAGGGCUCUUCCUAAGUCUUCUGGUAGUGAUGGAGAGUCGAGUGGAGACAACCAGCAGCAAGCACCACAGCCCACUGUCAUCCCCAACCAGGACUCCCUCAUCCCAGACUUACUCAACAUGGAUAUCAAUGCUCCGCCAGUUAUUCCUCAAGCAUCACAGCCAGCAUUCUCCGGUGGCACACUGGAUCUCCUGGGCGGUGGAUUAGAUUCCCUCUUGGGAGGUGGUGGGGCUGAUGUCGGAGCUGCCCCUGCUGCUCCAGGGGUUCCUCCAACUGCCACAUCCUCAGCAGGUGACACAGGGCUACUAGGUGAUAUCUUUGGCAUUGGCUCCUCAAGCACACCAGUUUACAGUCCACCUAAGCAAGUUUGGUUGCCUGCUAAUCGUGGAAAGGGAAUGGAAAUAUCAGGAACUUUCUCACGCAAGAAUGGGAAAUAUUUCAAUGGAUUUGACUCUGUGUAACAAGGCAAUGCAACCUAUCUCUGGCUUUGCCAUACAAUUGAACAAGAACAGCUUUGGGGUCACACCAGCAGCUCCUUUGAAUGUGGCUGCUCCUCUAGCUCCCAACCAGUCCAUUGAUGUUAGUCUCUCUCUCUCCACCAAUGGCCCGGUUCAGCGUAUGGAUCCACUUACAAAUUUGCAGGUUGCUAUCAAGAACAGCGUGGAUGUGUUCUACUUCGCAACAGUGAUGCCAAUACACAUCUUCUUUACUGAGGAUGGAGCCAUGGACAAGAGGGUUUUCCUUUCUACUUGGA
Molecule: unclassified non-coding RNA, 2628 nt
Filed under: Penaeus monodon (black tiger shrimp)
Lineage: Eukaryota; Metazoa; Arthropoda; Malacostraca; Decapoda; Penaeidae
Description: aP-1 complex subunit beta-1-like, transcript variant X3
Source: RNAcentral